Molecule: long non-coding RNA, 701 nt
Organism: Zophobas morio
Lineage: Eukaryota; Metazoa; Arthropoda; Insecta; Coleoptera; Tenebrionidae
Exons: 3
Source: RefSeq, a predicted model, not a curated record
GUUAUAGAUUUUCUUUUUGAUAAAUCUUCUGUGCCUGUUUUGGCCUCCAAGGCCUCCAUAUAUAAGUGAACGGAAAAAAUCUUUAAUUUUUAGAUUUGGAUGAAACUCGUUGUACACUCUACACCUAAGUAGCUCGAUGGUAAAGCUUAAGUAGCGAUAUUACUUUUUUUCAAGAGUUUAAAUUGGUUGCUUUAUUACCAGAAUUUAGGUACCAUGUGUUUGUAUUUACAGCAAGCGUGAAAGAGUACGGCAACCCCGUCAUCGACGCUUUAGACAGUAGAAAGGGCGCUACGUGAAAGUUCCUUUUUUCAGAUUUGUUAUAUAUAGGUUUACACAAAUUGAAACUUAAGAGAUUCAUGUGGUCCGAAAUUUACGAAAAACAUCAGUCUGGUUGAUCCGGAUAUGUAGCUAUAGUUGAUAAUUCGCCGUUAGCUUAUGCAGAGACCUUUGAAAACGCCAUUCCUAUAAGCGAUUGGUUCAGCGAUCCAAAAGGUAAGCAGCUUCUGUGCUUAAUACCUUUUUUAAAAAUCUUGUGCUCUGUGAGAGAUGUUCGCCUGGUACUUAAAUGGAAAAAGGAAUUUAAAAAAAAAUGGAAAAAUAAUUUUUACACACAUGUUUUGCGGACUUGUCAUUUUAAAACUUCAAUUUUUACUUUGUUAUAAAAAUCUGUAAGGCUGGAAGCGUCUAGUUCUUUUAAUUUU